This 251-nucleotide long non-coding RNA is filed under the name Physcomitrium patens. RNAcentral describes it as "long non-coding RNA (PPAT_LNC009852)". Lineage: Eukaryota; Viridiplantae; Streptophyta; Bryopsida; Funariales; Funariaceae. The record is from RNAcentral.
UACUAAUCGAUUGCCUUGUCAUAAAAUACGGAUCUUAUUGGUUGCAACACAAAUUGCAUCAUGUUCUCCAUACAUGGAUCAAAACUCUGCCAAAAAAGCCUCUAGAUUAUUAUAUAUUCGAUCUUGUCAUUGAAGAAAAGAUGAAAACCACGAUAGUGCCGAACCUGAAAGAAGCGUACCAAUGAAUCUAACUUGUGAUCCUGGAGUUGGAUAGCUUUGGGGUUGAAGUACAAUCACAAGUUACACUUGAU